Molecule: non-coding RNA, 519 nt
Organism: Phaethon lepturus (White-tailed tropicbird)
Lineage: Eukaryota; Metazoa; Chordata; Aves; Phaethontiformes; Phaethontidae
Source: the annotation of a RefSeq genome assembly
AUGUGGCUGCUGAACGUUUUCAUCCUGACAGCUGCUUUUUCCUGUGGUUCUGCACGAGUCUUGCAACAAACCCCCAUAUCCAUCACCAAGCCAGAAAGCAAAACAGUGCUGAUCAACUGCCACAUCUCCGAUCCUGGUUUUAACAACAUUUUCGUUCACUGGUACCGAAAGAGGCCCAAUGCAGCUCCCAAGCGCAUCGCCUACAUGUCCUCCAGGCUCUACCUUGAAAACAAGUCUGAUGAGGGGAAAUUUAGCAUUGAGAAGGACCACGCCAAAUCUGUCUGCACCCUGACAGUGAGCAAAGUAACUCUGCAAGACUCCGCUACCUACUACUGUGCUGUGUGGGAUGCACAUCAGUCGAAAGCCAUAGGGGACCUGCACAAAGACGUGCUCUGCUUUUUGAGCCAGAUCCUGAAGUAUUUGACAACAUGCGGAACCAUCCCCACCCUACUGUCCCCAUCAGCCUUGAGUCAGACAGACUCUACAGGCAGCCGGAUACCAAAGACGCGGCUGUGCUAG